This 373-nucleotide ribosomal RNA is filed under the name uncultured organism. RNAcentral describes it as "partial 16S ribosomal RNA". It matches the Rfam family "Bacterial small subunit ribosomal RNA", at positions 527 to 896 of the family's 1533-position model. The record is from RNAcentral.
GUAGGUGGCAAGCGUUGUCCGGAAUUAUUGGGCGUAAAGCGCGCGCAGGCGGUUCUUUAAGUCUGAUGUGAAAGCCCACGGCUCAACCGUGGAGGGUCAUUGGAAACUGGAGAACUUGAGUACAGAAGAGGAAAGCGGAAUUCCACGUGUAGCGGUGAAAUGCGUAGAGAUGUGGAGGAACACCAGUGGCGAAGGCGGCUUUCUGGUCUGUAACUGACGCUGAGGCGCGAAAGCGUGGGGGGCAAACAGGGAUUAGAUACCCUGGUAGUCCACGCCGUAAACGAUGAGUGCUAAGUGUUAGGGGGUUUCCGCCCCCUUAGUGCUGCAGCUAACGCAUUAAGCACUCCGCCUGGGGAGUACGGCCGCAAGGCUG